CAACGCGAAGAACCUUACCUGGCCUUGACAUCCAGAGAACUUAGCAGAGAUGCUUUGGUGCCUUCGGGAACUCUGAGACAGGUGCUGCAUGGCUGUCGUCAGCUCGUGUUGUGAAAUGUUGGGUUAAGUCCCGCAACGAGCGCAACCCUUAUCCUUUGUUGCCAGCGGUUCGGCCGGGAACUCAAAGGAGACUGCCGGUGAUAAACCGGAGGAAGGUGGGGAUGACGUCAAGUCAUCAUGGCCCUUACGGCCAGGGCUACACACGUGCUACAAUGGCGCAUACAAAGAGAAGCGACCUCGCGAGAGCAAGCGGACCUCAUAAAUGCGUCGUAGUCCGGAUUGGAGUCUGCAACUCGACUCCAUGAAGUCGGAAUCGCUAGUAAUCGUAGAUCAGAAUGCUACGGUGAAUACGUUCCCGGGCCUUGUACACACCGCCCGUCACACCAUGGGAGUGGGUUGCAAAAGAAGUAGGUAGCUUAACCUCCGGGAGGGCGCUUACCACUUUGUGAUUCAUGACUGGGGUGAAGUCGUAACAAGGUAACCAAGGGCGAAUUCUG
RNAcentral lists this ribosomal RNA (557 nucleotides) under uncultured Pantoea sp. RNAcentral describes it as "bacterial SSU rRNA". It matches the Rfam family "Bacterial small subunit ribosomal RNA", at positions 957 to 1515 of the family's 1533-position model. Lineage: Bacteria; Pseudomonadati; Pseudomonadota; Gammaproteobacteria; Enterobacterales; Erwiniaceae. The record is from RNAcentral.